GAUGAACGCUGGCGGCGUGCCUAAUACAUGCAAGUCGAGCGAACGGAUGAGGAGCUUGCUCCUCUGACGUUAGCGGCGGACGGGUGAGUAACACGUGGAUAACCUACCUAUAAGACUGGGAUAACUUCGGGAAACCGGAGCUAAUACCGGAUAAUAUAUUGAACCGCAUGGUUCAAUAGUGAAAGACGGUUUUGCUGUCACUUAUAGAUGGAUCCGCGCCGCAUUAGCUAGUUGGUAAGGUAACGGCUUACCAAGGCAACGAUGCGUAGCCGACCUGAGGGGGUGAUCGGCCACACGGGAACUGAGACACGGUCCAGACUCCUACGGGAGGCAGCAGUAGGGAAUCUUCCGCAAUGGGCGAAAGCUUGACGGAGCAACGCCGCGUGAGUGAUGAAGGUCUUCGGAUCGUAAAACUCUGUUAUUAGGGAAGAACAAAUGUGUAAGUAACUAUGCACGUCUUGACGGUACCUAAUCAGAAAGCCACGGCUAACUACGUG
RNAcentral lists this ribosomal RNA (497 nucleotides) under uncultured bacterium. Its description in RNAcentral is "partial 16S ribosomal RNA". It matches the Rfam family "Bacterial small subunit ribosomal RNA", at positions 28 to 507 of the family's 1533-position model. The record is from RNAcentral.